UACGUAGGGUGCAAGCGUUAAUCGGAAUUACUGGGCGUAAAGCGUGCGCAGGCGGUUUUGUAAGUUUGUCGUGAAAUCCCCGGGCUUAACCUGGGAAUUGCGAUGAAGACUGCAAGGCUUGAAUCUGGCAGAGGGGGGUAGAAUUCCACGUGUAGCAGUGAAAUGCGUAGAGAUGUGGAGGAACACCGAUGGCGAAGGCAGCCCCCUGGGUCAAGAUUGACGCUCAUGCACGAAAGCGUGGGGAGCAAACAGG
Molecule: ribosomal RNA, 253 nt
Filed under: uncultured bacterium
Lineage: Bacteria
Description: partial 16S ribosomal RNA
Rfam family: Bacterial small subunit ribosomal RNA
Source: RNAcentral